GCGCUUUUGAUUGGGGAUUUACAUCGCUUGUCGUGUUUACAUUUCUGGAGUUCGAAAUCAUCUGGUGUUAGGUGUUUUUAUAUGUGUGUGACAGCUUCUGCGUUCGACGUAUCCUGUUGGAGUUUAUGUUCCGUGCACAACCGAGAAACGCGAACGAGUGUGAAAGGAGUUGAAACAGCUGAAGGCUAAUACAUGUUCCAUGUUUCAACAAUUCCCGAAGGCGGUAUCAGACGCGCGCCAGAAACUUGUAAAACAGAUGAAGGACGCUAGAGGCAUGGGUUAAACGUGCUUGGCUGGUAGAUGAUACCCUUGACCUGAACUUUCAACCGGACAUUAAUUAGAGGGACGCUGAGGUUCAGCUUUUGAUUCUCUAAUAGCAGAAGAAAUAAAAGAUAAUGUAAAUAUGACAAACCUUAAAUUCAUGUAAGCAUGCGUGGCAUUCUUACCAGUUUCAGAUUAGUAGCAAGUUUCAGGUAAGUAAAUUGCAAAUUGUUAUUGCAUCGCUGUUUACUUUGCUUGUUUACUUUAUCUCUUAAGUUGCAUAUUCAUUAAACGUAAACUUUCUUUAAACAUUACAUUACAUUUAUUGAAGCUGAUGGUCCAAUGUAAGAAACUGUGCAACGACUGUAUCUAUGGAUAUUUAAAGAAACCGAGAAAUUAACAGCACAAUGUAGGUUAAUACAAUGACACAAGCACAUUCUAAAUUGAAUCGGUGCAUACAUUGUAAUUUAUAAAAGAUCUCACAUAAGUUAAAAUGUUAUACUUUAAUCACGUACUCGAACUGUGUAACAUAUCAUGCACACACUUUUCAUAAACGCGAAUGAUUUAGAAUACUACUGUGCUCUCAAUACUAUUGAUUUUACAAUUAAGAUUGUGGUUUUGAGGAAGAGUAUAUACAUUGAAGUUUAAUUUAGCUUAAACAAUCCAUUUAUGAACUAUUUCAUAAAAAUGCAUACAGCUGUAUACGGUAUAUAUUAUUAGCUUUUUUAUUAGAUUGUAAGGCUCAACGGGAUACACAUACAACUCGGAUGGCAUUAAUGAGAAGAAUUCGCCGUCUGUUUACGUCUGCAAAAGGAAAAAAGGCCACUAUGGCACAUCGCAGGAGGAAUAACGACCUCAUCCCGAUUCAUAGAUUACAACGUUUUUUCGCCGAAGCAAAUCAAAUUGCAGAAAUUGACCGUGAUAUAAUCACACUGGGUCACCGCGACAUGAUCACAUUUGAAUGCAGGAUCGACAUAUUUGGUUCCAUGUCGGAAAUCUGUACAACGAUUAGAGAGAUACUGACAAUUUGCGAGCGGGAUUUUCCUAAUAUUCCUGGUCUAGGUCAAGAAUUGAAAGACCUCGUUUUCGCGAAGUCUGUUUAGGUCUACACAACAAAGACGUUUCGCCAUCACUUUGCUCCUGGCUCAAAUGAAAGUACUCGGAACAUAAUGCUCCAAGAUAUUAAACAUUAUAUCAAGCAUUUUAAUAAAUUUGCAUUGGUUGUUGUUGAUAAUUUUUUGCAAGCAGCCGUUAUCAAGUUUCUUAACAAUUCAGACAUCUGUGUGACUGGACUUUUACUGUUUGGCGAAAUUCGAAGCGUUCCAGAUCAUCCAAAAAUACUUUUUAUCCAAACUCACCCGAAUGAUGAGGUCAUGAAAAACGCUGCACGUUUAUUGGAAAUGUGUGCAUUUUCUUUAUUGAAAUCGAUACAGAGUACUGUGCAACAAUAUGAAGGACACAGUUAUGGUGCGGGAAGAAAAACGGCCGAAUUACUGGAUCUGAUUGACCUCAUUGUGUCAACAUACGAAAGAAGUUUCAACUUCUCAUCAUCAAACAAUGACUGAAUUUACUAAUUGACAAUAAAACAUUAAAAGCAAUUUUUUCACAGGUUUUUGGUUAGUUUGAUGUAUGGUGAAUUGAAUUCACGGAUGUACUGGAACUAAAAGAUUCAACUAUAUUAACCUGAAAAUAGAAUCGGGUAAUCUACAUAAAAAGAAUUAAAUUUAAUACCCGAAGUAAAAUAAAUACUGAAAAACAAUCGUUUUUGAUCUGUAAUUAUUCAAUAAUAUCCUUAUCUAGUCCAAUUCUAAUUUAUUAAAUAAUCGAAUCAAUUCUUCUAAACCGUUUCAUCAGUGGCUGACAAAACAUGAUUAAUUCUUAAAUAAAAUACGUGAGGCAUCAAGAAGAUGAACUAUAACAUGUUAAUUACUCCACUGAAACUUUUUUAACAUUUUGCGUGAUGAAAAAUAAAUAUAAAUACAUGUAGCUAGACUUACUAACUAAACAUGCGUUUGAUAGUCGAAAUAUGAACAUUCACCUCAGUUGCAUUAAGUCAUAUAUACUUUUCAUAACUUGUAUAGUUAAGUUUUGCUGACAUAUGCUUAUAUUUGUAUAUUUUAUUUUUCUAUAUGCCUGUUUAUACUGUUUGUUUAUUUAAAUUCGACUAUCGUUCGAAUUUCUAAUUCGUAAAUAAAUCAGCGUAUGAUAUGGUAACUUUGUAUCAAACAUAUAUUUUUUCUAGAUUUGCUAAUGUUUACAUGGGUAAAAAUAUAAACAUUUUUUCAUUCGGCAUUGAACAAAAAGUUCAUCUAACGUUCAAUUAUCAACAUGAUCAACAUGAUAAUACAUCAAAUAUAUAUUUAGUGAGUGAUGAAGUAUUUCUCAGUUGAUUUAAGAGUGCAUGGGACCAUAUUAUCUCGAUACUUUUUUGCAUUGGGAUAUGUAUAUGUGUUUAAUGUAUGCUGUAUUUUUUAUAGUAGAUGAUUCUGAAAAGCGGGAAGUAUAAAUUCAAUAUGGUAUUAACGAAUUGAUUGUUGAACCUUACAAUCAUACCACAUGCGGUUUAAUCAAAAUUAAUUCUCUUUGUUGCACUGCUUCAAUAAAAUGUCAAUAUAAUCGUGUAUGUAUCGUGUCCAUGAUACAUGCUUAAGUUCUUUUGAUGUAUGUUUGAUAGUUUAUUUUCAACAAUAUUUAUUUACACCGCCAUAAUUAUUGAAAAGAUGCAUGUAGUUGUGUGUCUUCGUAUCCAUUUUCUUUUUUCUAUAUCAUUCACUUAAUAGCAACAUAAUAUAUUUAUUAAAUUAUGUUGUUUUUAUCUAAAGGAACAUCUGAUCUUUUUAUCUUCUUUUGCACUCAGUAUUCAUCGAGUCGAGUAGACAAAAUCUUACCAUGAGCUCAGUAUUAAACACCAUUCAAAAACGCCAUCCAAUACAGUAGUUGUUUUGAAAUUAUCUCUUAUAUAUUGUUUUGCCAAUUGUAUACCUGACUCAAGACAGAAUCAAUAUUUAGUCUGGUUUGAUUUUGAUUCUUUAUUUAUACCGAAAUUAGUAUACAUAUUAUUUAAGUGUGCUGUUCGCAAGUAUCGUUAUUUUUUGUUAAACUAUGUAUUAUCAAAUUCGUAUGCCUUUAAUAUUAUGUGUAUAAUGUGUAUUUUAGUUUGUUGUAUGUUCAUAAUUCUACUACGCAGAAAUUCAUUUGAUGUUAUGACUAGGAUAAAAAUACAUAAAACGAGUUCUGAACACUUAACUAUAGAAUUUGCAAACAUACCUGUAAGAAAUUUAAAGUAAAUUAAUGUUCAUGAAUUCAUGUGAAAUAAACAUUUAAACAUAAAAUUAUUCAACGUAUAUAAAAAGCAAUUUCUGUAUUUAAACAACAUUUUUAUAACUCGCUAGUACAAAAAAAGGAAUUGUUUUUGUUAACAAUUGGCUUAGAAUAAGGGCCUAUUAUCACGAACAUACUCAGUCAAUAUGCUGACACAAAUUUAGUUUCUUUUCUUAAUAUUUUCUAUGUGUUUGGCCAUCAUGCUUAAUUUGGUUUUCAAAGAAGUGUUCAUAAGUUUUGAGUCUGACUCUACCAUAAGAUUCAUGACGAAUAUGUGCAUAUUCCUAUAGCUGAGAUUCCAAAUUGUUUGUGAACGGACCGAAAUUUUAAAUACUCAGCUUAGUUUUACUGUUUUUGAAUCUUUUAUUUUAAUAAAUUUUAAUAAACAUUUCAGACUUAGAUAUAACAUUGUCUUCGAUGAUGUUUAACAUUAAAAUAAAAUCACUCUUUACAAAUAUUAGUGAUGUCAAUUGUUUCUUUGUCAUUUGUUUUGUAAACAUUCGUUUCAAAUUAAG
Molecule: long non-coding RNA, 4097 nt
Organism: Dreissena polymorpha
Lineage: Eukaryota; Metazoa; Mollusca; Bivalvia; Myida; Dreissenidae
Exons: 5
Source: RefSeq, a predicted model, not a curated record